RNAcentral lists this long non-coding RNA (1911 nucleotides) under Laticauda laticaudata (blue-ringed sea krait). RNAcentral's name for it is "lncRNA (ENSLLTG00000007992.1)". The record is from RNAcentral. Lineage: Eukaryota; Metazoa; Chordata; Lepidosauria; Squamata; Elapidae.
CAGAAAAGCAAAUCUGUCUCCGGCCCUUAGAAGUCAGAGGAAGGGUCGCCAACGGCUCCGCGGCACCGCGGGUGGGAAGGAGACAAGGGUGGCGCUCAAAGCUGACCCGCCCUUGCAGCUCCCCAAAACGGAAGCGAGGGCGCUUUUCGCCUGUGCACCGAGGGACGCCGUCCUCCGUUGCGAGGGGUUCUUUUCGUAACAGCUCUCAAGAGAAACAUCAGUGUACUAUGGCAGGCUCCUCUCAGCUUUAUAAGAAAAGUACAUUCCCUCCACUUUUGGAGUCUUACUUACCUCUGAAUUGCCAGAAUCAGGGCAAAGAUGGUUAAGAGGGCAGUGAUAUAUGUCUGAUAUCCUUCCACCCUACUCCUUUUUCUUUGACUUCAUAUUCACUCACAAAAUCUCAAUAGGUUUUGGACACAAGUUCAAAUAUGAGUACAAAUUCCUUUCAGGUGUUUUCAUGGAAUGGAAGGAUUUGAGAAAAGGAAAGUGCAUGGCGAACAGAGCAAAUUGGCAAAAACCAGAAAGAAACAAAAAGGAGCAGAUAAGGAACAACAGCCACAUUUUAAGUGAGGAAGAAAAGGAUAAACUCCUUAAGCAAGCUCUGCUUGAAAAGCAUCAUCUUGAAACCUACAAGAAUCUUUAUAAGAUAAGAAAUAUCUUAUAUGAACGCUACAAGACUUUAUUGAAUGAGAAAGUGCUAAAGCAACGAAUUCAGAUCAAGGCAUUUGAUCUGAAAGAUCAACAACUUAAGCACAAAGAACAAAAGUACACCCUUCGUCGUAAACUUCCUUUCUGCAAGCUGUCGCAUGAUACGAAGUACUUGGAGUCCGUGUCACAGUCAAACAGCUACUGGGUUACUGGAUUGCACAAUGAACUAACUAAACUUGGAAUCAUAAAGAACCAGCAAGAUUAUGAAAACUUUUGGAAAUUUGCUUGGGAGGAUAUUCCUGGCCCAAAGAUCAAGGAGAAGCUUCCUGAUAUAAAAGCAAGAAGCUGAGUAUCUUCAUAAUUUCUGGAAAUUAGAAUAAGAUUCAUCUCUACAGGAAAAGCAGACACCUAUUUUAUUUAUUCUUUCACUAGCCAAUAUUUUAAAUAAGGAAAUUGCUCCCUAGAAGAUCUUGUGAGCAUUUAUAAUCCUUAAAAUGCAAGAUUAAAACCAAGUUAAAUAAAUAAUAAAUUAAUUUGAAAUGCACAUAAUCUCACCAGCAAAGUGGCACCUACGAGAUGAGAAAUAUGGGUUGGACUAUAGAUACUAGCAAUUUCAUUUGUCCAAGUCACGCCAUCUUCCUUACUCUAUACCAAGGAUCUUCAAACUUGGCAAGUUUAAGACUUGUGGACUUCCUCAGCUAACAUGACUAGAGGAGGAAUUCUGGGAGUUGAAGACCACAAGUCUUAAAGCUGUCAAAUUUGAAGACCCCUGCUCUAUACAUAGACACAGCCAUGAGGAAAGCCCUGAAAUAUGCUCACUUCACUCAUCUUUGUCGGAAUUUUCUCAAAAUUUUCCCCCUCGAGAUGCAUUUACUUUAUAUCUUUUUUAUUUGAUUGAUUGAAUCUUAUGAUCAUCUAUCUCAAAAUAACAAGCAGACAAACAAUAAUAAACAGUAAAAAACUUACACUAGUUACCAAGAGAAAACCUAAAGAGAACAAUCAACAAAAUUCUUCCAUGAACCAACUAGCCUUCUUCAACACUUCACAAAAGGUCAGCAUGUUGAGGACUAAUCUAAUCUCUGGUUCUCAGAAAGCAGGUGGUAUGACAGAAAAUGCAUACUUCUUAAGUCCCAACAAUUGGGACUAAUUGAAAAACACAAUUAGUGAAAUUUGUAAUAAAACAGUUGUAUUAUCGGAAAUGUUCAGUUGAUAAAUUUUGUUUCAGCUGAUGAAAAUAAAUUUAGUUAUGCUAUUUAUGUCUGA